CCUACGGGAGGCAGCAGUGGGGGAUAUUGCACAAUGGGGGGAACCCUGAUGCAGCGACGCCGCGUGGGUGAAGAAGCGCCUCGGCGCGUAAAGCCCUGUCAGCAGGGAAGAAAAUGACGGUACCUGAAGAAGAAGCCCCGGCUAACUACGUGCCAGCAGCCGCGGGAAUACGUAGGGGGCAAGCGUUAUCCGGAUUUACUGGGUGUAAAGGGGGCGCAGACGGCGAUGCAAGCCAGGAGUGAAAGCCCGGGGCCCAACCCCGGGACUGCUCUUGGAACUGCGUGGCUGGAGUGCAGGAGGGGCAGGCGGAAUUCCUGGGGUAGCGGUGAAAUGCGUAGAUAUCAGGAGGAACACCGGUGGCGAAGGCGGCCUGCUGGACUGCAACUGACGUUGAGGCCCGAAAGCGUGGGGAGCAAACAGGAUUAGAUACCCCGGUAGUC
This 440-nucleotide ribosomal RNA is filed under the name uncultured bacterium. RNAcentral describes it as "partial 16S ribosomal RNA". It matches the Rfam family "Bacterial small subunit ribosomal RNA", at positions 338 to 795 of the family's 1533-position model. The record is from RNAcentral.